This 1011-nucleotide long non-coding RNA is filed under the name Homo sapiens (human). RNAcentral describes it as "HSALNT0093056". Lineage: Eukaryota; Metazoa; Chordata; Mammalia; Primates; Hominidae. The record is from RNAcentral.
GGUGAAUGUGAUCCCUAGACCUUUAACACCUGGCUCUGAGUCCUGCCCGCACCUUCCAGGCACCACUCACUCCAAUGGCUCCACUCCUGGGCUCCUUGAUACAGACAAGGGCUCUGAUUGGAAACCCUCUGACUCCUCCGUGCUUCUUGGCCUUUGACAAGUUUAUCACAGAUGGGAGAAGGACAUUCUGUUUCUUCAGUGUUAUGGGCUGACUCACUUCCCUCUUCUCUGCAAUAAGCACAAAGGCCAAAGUCAGUCCACUCUACCAAGAAACAGCAAAAUGGCUCUGAGAGUGGUGUCCUUCCGGAUUGGUGAACCUCCAGCUCCACUCAGCUCCUGGGGCUCAGCCAGCAGAGCUGUGCAGUGGAAAGGAAUCCACCUUGGAACAGGAUCCCUGGCUUUACCACUUCAAUUGCUGAGUGAUCUCCAGCUAGUUAGUUUCAGCCUAUUUCCUCAUGUGAAAAAUUGAGGUAAAAAUACUUGGAAAUAUUGUUGUAAAGGUUAAGUAACGUAAGAAAAAUGCCUGGAACCAUGUCUUCCACCAAAGUAGGUAGGGGCUCAACAAAUAUUGAAUUGAUUCAUAUGACAUUGCCAUUUAUAUAGGUCAAAAAUGGCCAAAUAUUGACAAUUUCAUAUGGUUCAACCUGCCAUCAGCCUAUUACUCAAGCACCUAAGAAAUCAGUGUCCAAUUGGUUGGAGUAUUGGGUACAAACAAGGUAGAACCUUAGAGGUAGAACCCCAGUGUUGACUUUUAUUUACAUUAUCAAAGAAUCAAGGAAGGCCAGCACCCUACUAUGCACUUUAAAUUCUGGAAGAUUUUCUUCACUCUUAGCUAGUUAAACAAAGCCGAUUUAAGAGACAGGAUAAAAUUGUGGUUUAGAGCCUAGACUCUGGGGAGAGAUUGUCUGGGAUUAAAUUCCAGCUCUGCUACUGACGAGCAUUGUGAAACUGAGCAAGUUUGUUAAUCAACCUGGGUCUCAGUUUUGUUCCCCGUGACAUAGGAUAUUACAG